Molecule: unclassified non-coding RNA, 37 nt
Filed under: Leishmania tarentolae
Lineage: Eukaryota; Euglenozoa; Kinetoplastea; Trypanosomatida; Trypanosomatidae
Description: guide RNA
Source: RNAcentral
CAUCUAGAGCUGAACUGGCAUGUAGAGUCACGUAAAU